ACAAGGACGACUAUAUAUUUCCUAGCAAACCUAGGGUUUGUGUUGUUGCGAUUCUCAUUACAUUCCUCUCUCUACCUUAAGGCGGCGUUCUGCGUCUGAUCGAAGUUUCUCCUUCACGAUGAGAGCCAAGUGGAAGAAGAAGCGUAUGAGGAGGCUGAAGAGGAAGCGCCGAAAGAUGAGGCAGAGAUCCAAGUAGAAGCCUCUAAUUUUCCGCUGUUUCUUCUUGCUGCAAUGAAUUGCUUCUAGGGUUUCGUUUAUUUCCCGUUAUUUUUCACUUUCAUUAUAUUUAAAAGGUACUUGUGUUGGCUGCUGUUUUUCGACGCUGAAAUGAACUAUUUCAUCAAUCAUAUGGACUAUUCUGUCUUUUAUCAA
This is a long non-coding RNA of Andrographis paniculata, 372 nucleotides long. RefSeq lists it as uncharacterized. The record is from RefSeq and is a predicted model, not a curated record. NCBI's taxonomy places the organism in Eukaryota, Viridiplantae, Streptophyta, Magnoliopsida, Lamiales, Acanthaceae. The transcript has 2 exons.